AUUGAACGCUGGCGGCAGGCCUAACACAUGCAAGUCGAACGGUAACAGAAAGCAGCUUGCUGCUUUGCUGACGAGUGGCGGACGGGUGAGUAAUGUCUGGGAAACUGCCUGAUGGAGGGGGAUAACUACUGGAAACGGUAGCUAAUACCGCAUAACGUCGCAAGACCAAGAGGGGGACCUUCGGGCCUCUUGCCAUCGGAUGUGCCCAGAUGGGAUUAGCUAGUAGGUGGGGUAACGGCUCACCUAGGCGACGAUCCCUAGCUGGUCUGAGAGGAUGACCAGCCACACUGGAACUGAGACACGGUCCAGACUCCUACGGGAGGCAGCAGUGGGGAAUAUUGCACAAUGGGCGCAAGCCUGAUGCAGCCAUGCCGCGUGUAUGAAGAAGGCCUUCGGGUUGUAAAGUACUUUCAGCGGGGAGGAAGGGAGUAAAGUUAAUACCUUUGCUCAUUGACGUUACCCGCAGAAGAAGCACCGGCUAACUCCGUG
This 489-nucleotide ribosomal RNA is filed under the name uncultured bacterium. RNAcentral's name for it is "partial 16S ribosomal RNA". It matches the Rfam family "Bacterial small subunit ribosomal RNA", at positions 30 to 507 of the family's 1533-position model. The record is from RNAcentral.